Molecule: ribosomal RNA, 614 nt
Filed under: uncultured bacterium
Lineage: Bacteria
Description: bacterial SSU rRNA
Rfam family: Bacterial small subunit ribosomal RNA
Source: RNAcentral
UACUUGUACCUGGUGGCGAGCGGCGGACGGGUGAGUAAUGCCUAGGAAUCUGCCUGGUAGUGGGGGAUAACGCUCGGAAACGGACGCUAAUACCGCAUACGUCCUACGGGAGAAAGCAGGGGACCUUCGGGCCUUGCGCUAUCAGAUGAGCCUAGGUCGGAUUAGCUAGUUGGUGAGGUAAUGGCUCACCAAGGCGACGAUCCGUAACUGGUCUGAGAGGAUGAUCAGUCACACUGGAACUGAGACACGGUCCAGACUCCUACGGGAGGCAGCAGUGGGGAAUAUUGGACAAUGGGCGAAAGCCUGAUCCAGCCAUGCCGCGUGUGUGAAGAAGGUCUUCGGAUUGUAAAGCACUUUAAGUUGGGAGGAAGGGCAUUUACCUAAUACGUAAGUGUUUUGACGUUACCGACAGAAUAAGCACCGGCUAACUCUGUGCCAGCAGCCGCGGUAAUACAGAGGGUGCAAGCGUUAAUCGGAAUUACUGGGCGUAAAGCGCGCGUAGGUGGUUCGUUAAGUUGGAUGUGAAAUCCCCGGGCUCAACCUGGGAACUGCAUUCAAAACUGUCGAGCUACAGUAUGGUAGAGGGUGGUGGAAUUUCCUGUGUUACCGCUGAA